RNAcentral lists this ribosomal RNA (440 nucleotides) under uncultured bacterium. RNAcentral describes it as "partial 16S ribosomal RNA". It matches the Rfam family "Bacterial small subunit ribosomal RNA", at positions 338 to 795 of the family's 1533-position model. The record is from RNAcentral.
CCUACGGGUGGCAGCAGUGGGGAAUAUUGCACAAUGGGGGAAACCCUGAUCCAGCGACGCCGCGUGAGCGAUGAAGUAUUUCGGUAUGUAAAGCUCUAUCAGCAAGGAAGAAAAUUACGGUACCUGACUAAGAUUCCCCGGCUAACUACGUUCCAGCAGCCGCGGUUAGACGUCGGGGGCAGGCGUUAUCCGGAUUUACUGGGUGUUAAGGGGGCUUAGACGGCUUGGCAAGCUAGAUGUGAAAGCCUGGGGCUCAACCCGAGGACUGCAGUUGGAACUGUCAUGCUAGAGUGUCGGAGGGGCAGGUGGAAUUCGUGGUGUAGCGGUGAAAUGCGUAGAUAUUAGGAAGAACACCAGUGGCGAAGGCAGUCUGCUGGAGGAUGACUGACGUUGAGGCUCGAAAGUGCGGGGAGCAAACAGGAUUAGAUACCCCAGUAGUC